CGGGGGCGGGCCCGGCGGAAAGCGCUUAACCCCUGCGCGCCCGGCGCCGCUGCGCGCCCCUCCCCACGCCGCGGGUACACCUUCCGGGCGGGGCCUCGGGGGACCGCCUCCCGCGCUGAUUCUGCCCUCGGGCGCUCGGCACCGGCACGGGGGGUGGGGGGGAGGGGGGGGCGGCGCCAACGGCGGGCCGGCGUGGACGGAAAUUAAAUGAAGGCCGGAGGGAGUAACCCCCGCAAAGCGCAUCUCUGGCCGCCCUCGUGGAAAAUCCUUCCAGCUCCUGGGCUCCCGCCCGGCGCUCUUCCACCCCCCACCCCGACCCCACCCCGGCAGUGAUCGCCCCCGGCAAACUGUGCGUCUCUCUCUCCCUUGCGCAUCGCUGUUUCCCCGGGGACCUAGAACAGCACCUCACAUCCUGAUCAAUACAUAUGUCGAAAAUAAUUUUAAAAUAAUAAUAAUAAUGGGACUUUCAGGAACCGUAACCUCGAGAAAUGGAGAAGGGAGACCAUUCCUCACAUCACUAAACAUUUUGUGUGAAGGCCAGCACCUGAAAAAUGCUUAACUACUUGGUGGGAUCAAAUUUCUCAAAGGCAGAGGUCAUCUAUCCGUCCAGGCAGCUGACGAGCCAUGAAGACCAAAUGGAACAUGGGAUCCUGGAUGGCUUCCUGAACCACAGAAGGGACAUUAGUAGGACAGCUGGUGAAACAGGAAUAGUACUGUACCAAUAUUAAUUUCCGGAUUUGGGUAACCGUACUGUGUUUAUGCAACAUCUGGAGAAUUGGGGGAGGGGUGUUUGAGACUUCUUUAGACUGUUUGCAAAAUGUUUGUAAGUUUAAAAAUUCAGAAUAAAGAGUUAAAAAAAAAUUAGAGUAAUCAUAGAGACUGCAGAACUCGCUAAAUGAGACAACUCCCAAACUGAUCUGGCUGUGUAAUCAGCUACUAAUUACCAUUAAUGAUGGGAACUGCUUAAUUUCCAGGCAGCACAGUGAGGAGGAGCUUUUACCACAAACUUAGUGGCUUAAAAUACCACCCACGUAUUCUCUCCCGAUUCUGUAGGUCAGAAGUCACACUGGCAAGACUGGGGUCUCUGCUCAGGGUCUCAGGAGGCCGAAAUCACUGUGAGCAGGGGAGUUCCCAACCGGAGACUGGAGAAAAACCGCCUCGCCAGCUCAUUCCCAGGGCAGAAUUCAGUUCCUGUAGUUCAGGAGUAAAGUCCUCACUUCCUGCCGGCCGCCGCCAGCACUCUGUUCCCAGGGGCUGCCCGCAUCCUUGCCACGUGGCCACCUCCUGUCUUCAGGUCAGCGGAGGCAGGUGGAUGGCUUCUCGGGCUUUGAACUCUGACCCCUUCCUCUGGGACCAGCGGAGGAAACUCCCUGCCUUAAGGAAGGACACAGGCCCUUGCAGAUGGUUUCCGUAUCGUAAGCCCAGCUGAUUUGGGAUCCUACUUUUGUCAGCAAAUUCACGGCAAUACUGGGUUAGUGUUUGAGUAACUGGGGAAGGUUUGUGUACACGAGGGCCAGGAAUCCUGGGGCCACGUGGGAGUCCUGCCUGCCGCAGGGUAGUUUCUUAAACCAAAUAAAUGGAUAUAAACGGGCAACAGGUUGGUGGACGGUGGGGGGCACGGCCUACCUGCUCUGAGGACGUGGGCUCCCCGGUGCCCACCAGAUCAGUCUGACCUGGCUCAGAGAGAGUCUCCUUCUUUCCUACUAACCCUCCCGUUUAAACCGGUUCCCAAGUACAGCCCUGACCGUGUUGGAAUGAAAUUAUCAUCUCUUCUCUUUCCGGUCGCGGAGUUUCAGAAAUCAGGAUUCAGUCUCUAGGGGACAGACGCUAUCCACAUCCUCGCUGUCCCGGAUGGAAGGAGAGUAGCAUCGUGUUUAGUGCUCAGCAGCAGCUCCGGAGGCACCAGCAGCUGGGAGUGCACGCCAGCUGUUCCCUGCCAGUCGGGGACAGUUGUCCCUUUCUUCACAAGGGAAGAGUGGCUGCAGCGAACGGGGUUUAAGUUGGGCCUUUGAAGCCCACCGAGCCCAGGGCCGGGCUUGCAUUGAGGAUGGAAUCACUGAAAACAUCAGAGCCCUAACGGACUCCAGAAUGUCACCAAGCUGCUCUUGUGAAGCUCGCUCCUGUGCCAGCAGAUGACCGGGCUUUUUGUCGUUGUUGCAACAAGCGUGUCCUUUUUUCUCAGCACUCUGACAAACUCCUGCUUCAAGCAGGGGCGAGCAUUCACCCCCACUCGCUACUGACAAAGCUGCGGCUAAGGGAAGUGGCCUGCCCUGGGCGCCUGGCCACAAAAGACGGAGCAGAGACCUCCAGCUGGGCCUCUCGACAGAUGCCACUGUCCUCACCGUGCCACAGCCUCUCUCCAGGGAGCUGUGUUCUCUCCAGUCAGUCGUUGUCCUCCGGGCGGGGCAUCACAGUCCUCAGAGGGCUUGGCUGAGCUGGGAACCCAGGCCCAUCCGACCUCAGUGUUUUUAGUCUUAAUAACCUAUUUACGGCUGAGAAGCCAGACUGCCUCUUUCCCAGAAGUCAGGCACAACUGCUCUGGCCAAGCGGUGGCUUUCCACUCCCAUUAUGGUCCUAGAAGAUGAUGCUGCCCUUCUGAAGAGGAAAAUGAAGAGUCUUUGUGAUUCAAAUGAGUCACAUUGUCACCUCCAGAGAAAAAGCAAGUCUUCGAAGUGGGCUCUCACUUAACCCGUGAUCAGAACAACUUGGAGGCAAACUGGACGGCAUCGUGGAGGCUACGUGGUGGAAGAUGUGUGACCAGCUCCAGAACUGGCCCUCCCUUCCACGCCCCGGGCCAUUUCUUCCCUCCUCUGCCUCUGUGUCCCCAUCUGUAAAAUGCAGAGAAUAUUAGUUGUUGGCCCGAUGUGAGGACCGAAUGACUGCUUAAAAGAGAAGCAGGAUUUCUUUUUUUUUUUUUAAUGUUUAUUUUUGAGAGAGAGAGAGAGAGAGAGAGAGAGAGACACUGCAAGCAGGGGAGGGGCAGAGAGAGAGGGAGACAGAGGAUCCAAAGUGGGCUCUACGCUGACAGCAAAGAACUGGGUGCAGGGCUCGAACCCACAAACUGCGAGAUCGUGACCAGGGCGUAAGUCAGAAGAUUAACUGACUGAGCCACCCAGGCGCCCCGAAAACGCAGAAUUUCUAAUGUUGGAGGAACAUAUAUUUUUACUGCACUUGAGGGUGGCUUUUCUACAUUAUACAAAAGACUGCUUCGAGAUAUUUCUAUUUUUCAAUAUGCAUUUUAUCCAAAUUCAAAAUUUUAGAUUUUCCUUAAGUUCUUAGGCUUAACUCAAAGCUGCAUUAUUCUACUUAUAACCUUAUCAUAUAAAAUAUAGUAAAACUUAACAGUCACUGUUCAGGGGAAUUUGAUGACCGGUCCCAUGUAGAAACCCAGCUAUUUAAACUGCCUUAUCAAUUAAAAACUGCAUUUAUGAAAUACUUUAUACUUCAGAACACUUUGGUUUGCUCACAAGCCUUGCCAAAUAACCAACUAAAUAUGGUGAAUCUUUAGUUCUUUUAUUAAAUGUUCCCAUACUGCUGACAAUCUUAAUAAAAUUGCAUCGCACCUUUUAGCUUAAAGCUCAGGUCAUGACCUCAGAGUCGUGAGAUUGAGCCCCGAGUUGGGCUCUGUGCUGAGUGUGGAACCUGCUUAAGAUUGUCUCUCUGUCCUUCCUUGGCUCACACGUGUGCUCGCUCGUGCUCUCUCUCUCUCAAAAAAAAAAAAAAAAAUUUUUUUUUUUUUUUAAAUGGGAUCACAAGGCCUGUCCAUUGGAUACUCAAAUUUGCCACAUCCUCUUAAAAUUACAAGUUCUCAAGAUGCCCAAGAGAUACUGGUCACCUAAACUUAGCCCCAAAAUAUCAAAAGUUUGGGUUUAAUUUGCUUCAUAUUCCUCUGUUUAAAUAGAAACUUUUCCACAGUUAAAAGAAAAAGACCCUGAAGAAACAGUUAUGUCAUAUCAGCAAGUCAGGGCUCCUGUCCCAAGGCACUGACUAAGGUUACUUAUCGACCAGAAAGACCCUGAUUGGAACAGCAAAAAAUAUCCAACAUAAUAAAGAUUUUCCAGACCUUC
Felis catus (domestic cat) is the source of this 4067-nucleotide long non-coding RNA. RefSeq lists it as uncharacterized. NCBI's taxonomy places the organism in Eukaryota, Metazoa, Chordata, Mammalia, Carnivora, Felidae. The transcript has 2 exons. The record is from RefSeq and is a predicted model, not a curated record.